RNAcentral lists this ribosomal RNA (492 nucleotides) under uncultured bacterium. RNAcentral's name for it is "partial 16S ribosomal RNA". It matches the Rfam family "Bacterial small subunit ribosomal RNA", at positions 29 to 507 of the family's 1533-position model. The record is from RNAcentral.
AGUGAACGCUGGCGGUAGGCCUAACACAUGCAAGUCGAACGGCAGCACAGUAAGAGCUUGCUCUUACGGGUGGCGAGUGGCGGACGGGUGAGGAAUACAUCGGAAUCUACUUUUUCGUGGGGGAUAACGUAGGGAAACUUACGCUAAUACCGCAUACGACCUACGGGUGAAAGCAGGGGAUCUUCGGACCUUGCGCGAUUGAAUGAGCCGAUGUCGGAUUAGCUAGUUGGCGGGGUAAAGGCCCACCAAGGCGACGAUCCGUAGCUGGUCUGAGAGGAUGAUCAGCCACACUGGAGCUGAGACACGGUCCAGACUCCUACGGGAGGCAGCAGUGGGGAAUAUUGGACAAUGGGCGCAAGCCUGAUCCAGCCAUACCGCGUGGGUGAAGAGGGCCUUCGGGUUGUAAAGCCCUUUUGUUGGGAAAGAAAAGCAGCAGGUUAAUACCCCGCUGUUCUGACGGUACCCAAAGAAUAAGCACCGGCUAACUUCGUG